RNAcentral lists this unclassified non-coding RNA (211 nucleotides) under plant metagenome. Its description in RNAcentral is "partial contains small subunit ribosomal RNA, internal transcribed spacer 1, and 5.8S ribosomal RNA". The record is from RNAcentral.
UUUCCGUAGGUGAACCUGCGGAAGGAUCAUUCAUAAUAAAGUGUUUUAUGGCACUUUUUAAAAGUCCAUAUCCACCUUGUGUGCAAUGUUAGAUCUCGUCAAUCUUGGCGAGAUUUUUAUACAUCAACUCAUUCUUUAACUAAUUUGUCUGAAAAAUAUUAUGAAUACUUAAUUCAAAAUACAACUUUCAACAACGGAUCUCUUGGCUCUC